ACCUGGCUGGCUCAGUUGGUGGAGCAUGUGACUCUUGAUCUCCAGGUUGUGAGUUCAAGCCCCAUAUUGGGUG
RNAcentral lists this transfer RNA (73 nucleotides) under Felis catus (domestic cat). It matches the Rfam family "tRNA". Rfam says of the family: Transfer RNA (tRNA) molecules are approximately 80 nucleotides in length. Their secondary structure includes four short double-helical elements and three loops (D, anti-codon, and T loops). The record is from Rfam by way of RNAcentral. Lineage: Eukaryota; Metazoa; Chordata; Mammalia; Carnivora; Felidae.